AUAAUGAACGGACUAAAAUUUAAGAAUAUAGCAGUUACGUGGCUGCAUCCGCAGGGAUGCCUCCCACGUGUCACCAUUUCGGCGUGGCAACGAGUCAUGUGGCGAUUUGGUGAGGCUCCACCACGAGUCGCUGAAGAAAGCUGUGCCCAAGCUUAACAAAGAGGACAAGUUUAGGACCAAAGGGGAACGUUUCGUCAUCUUUGAUCUUCAUAAAGCCUCUUCAUGGCCGUCUUGGAGAAAAAGGGGGCAAGAGGUUUAAAACCCCGCUGAAGCCGUGCUGCGAAUUAGGCGAUUGUGUACGUGUGGAUAUGAUGGGUGCGAAGAAGAUACGUUAUGUAACGAUCCUAAGUCUGCUUUCUUAUUAUGGGAUGGAAUUAACCCAAUUCAAGAAGGAUGAAGACUGAUUUAUACGGAAUUAGGCAAAUCUCUAACCGUGUCUUUAGUUUGACCAAAGUGUAUUUUUGGGCAUUUAAAAAAACUCCAUUUGUUAGUUAUUUACUUUCACCUUUGCCUUUUCCAAUUUCUUGAAAUCGAAUUCUGUUUAUUGUUUUUAAUCCUUAACAAAAAUAUAUCUUUAAUUCA
This is a long non-coding RNA of Capsella rubella, 582 nucleotides long. RefSeq lists it as uncharacterized. NCBI's taxonomy places the organism in Eukaryota, Viridiplantae, Streptophyta, Magnoliopsida, Brassicales, Brassicaceae. The record is from RefSeq and is a predicted model, not a curated record. The transcript is spliced from 2 exons.